Molecule: long non-coding RNA, 475 nt
Organism: Gadus macrocephalus (Pacific cod)
Lineage: Eukaryota; Metazoa; Chordata; Actinopteri; Gadiformes; Gadidae
Exons: 2
Source: RefSeq, a predicted model, not a curated record
UGUUCGUAUGCACACAAAAAAAGUGAAUAUGUGUGCAUUUGUGUGUGCAUGAAAAUGUGAAAGGAAGUACAGGGUCAAGUGGCAGGUGAGAGACGAUGUGUGUGGUGUGUGUGUGUGUGUGUGUGUGUGUGUGUGUGUGUGCCAACAUGUAUGAAAGUGUGUGUUUGUGAAGAGGAUGCUUUUUUUUUCCUUUCGUAGAGCGAUGCAUAACUACUAUAGGUGCACUAUAGGAAGAGAGGAGGGAGCCAUGGAGGCCGGCUCGUACCAGUAGUACUGCCUCCCUGUCGGCGUACUGCUCAGCCUCCUGUAGUCAGUGCCGGAGUCUAAGCAGAUGGUCUGGCAGUAAUCCUAAACAGAAACACACACACACACACACACACACACACACACACACACACACACACACACACACACACACACACACACACACACACACACACACACACACACACACACACACACACACACACACUAA